Non-coding RNA from Ictidomys tridecemlineatus (thirteen-lined ground squirrel), 69 nucleotides. Lineage: Eukaryota; Metazoa; Chordata; Mammalia; Rodentia; Sciuridae. The record is from Rfam.
GGGGUUGUGGCUCAGUGGUAGAGCUCUUGCCUGGCAUGUAUGAGACAUUGGGUUCGAUCCUCAGCACUA